Molecule: ribosomal RNA, 466 nt
Filed under: uncultured bacterium
Lineage: Bacteria
Description: partial 16S ribosomal RNA
Rfam family: Bacterial small subunit ribosomal RNA
Source: RNAcentral
GAUGAACGCUGGCGGCGUGCUUAACACAUGCCAGUCGAACGAUGAAGCCCAGCUUGCUGGGUGGAUCAGUGGCGAACGGGUGAGUAACACGUGAGUAACCUGCCCUUAACUCUGGGAUAAGCCUGGGAAACUGGGUCUAAUACCGGAUAGGAGCGUCCACCGCAUGGUGGGUGUUGGAAAGAUUUAUCGGUUUUGGAUGGACUCGCGGCCUAUCAGCUUGUUGGUGAGGUAAUGGCUCACCAAGGCGACGACGGGUAGCCGGCCUGAGAGGGUGACCGGCCACACUGGGACUGAGACACGGCCCAGACUCCUACGGGAGGCAGCAGUGGGGAAUAUUGCACAAUGGGCGCAAGCCUGAUGCAGCGACGCCGCGUGAGGGAUGACGGCCUUCGGGUUGUAAACCUCUUUCAGUAGGGAAGAAGCGAAAGUGACGGUACCUGCAGAAGAAGCACCGGCUAACUACGUG